GAUGAACGCUGGCGGCGUGCCUAAUACAUGCAAGUCGAGCGAACAGACGAGGAGCUUGCUCCUCUGACGUUAGCGGCGGACGGGUGAGUAACACGUGGAUAACCUACCUAUAAGACUGGGAUAACUUCGGGAAACCGGAGCUAAUACCGGAUAAUAUAUUGAACCGCAUGGUUCAAUAGUGAAAGACGGUUUUGCUGUCACUUAUCGAUGGAUCCGCGCCGCAUUAGCUAGUUGGUAAGGUAACGGCUUACCAAGGCGACGAUGCGUAGCCGACCUGAGAGGGUGAUCGGCCACACUAGAAAUGAGACACGGUCCAGACUCCUACGGGAGGAAGCAGUAGGAAAUCUUCCGCAAUGGGCGAAAGCCUGACGGAGCAAAGGCGCGUGAGUGAUGAAGGUCUUCGGAUCGGAAAACUCUGUUAUAAGGGAAGAACAAAUGUGUAAGUAACUAUGCACGUCUUGACGGUACCGUAUCAGAAAGCCACGGCUAACUACGUG
RNAcentral lists this ribosomal RNA (497 nucleotides) under uncultured bacterium. Its description in RNAcentral is "partial 16S ribosomal RNA". It matches the Rfam family "Bacterial small subunit ribosomal RNA", at positions 28 to 507 of the family's 1533-position model. The record is from RNAcentral.